AUACCAUUAUUACUAUUUAUUUCUCAUACUAACACUCUUAACACUACUCUUUUUUUUCUAUUUCCUUCUUUCAUCCUAGACUACGCUGCUUUCAUCUUCUCUACACCACCAAGGGAUUUGCGGAAGCUCUCGAAGCUAUGGCGUUGUUGAUUCGCCCAAACAGUGUCAUUCGGACUCGAAACACGAUGAGUUGCUUCCCGAUGUGGAGAUUGCAGCGCUCCGCCGCGAAUUCGAAUCUGCCAAACAGAGCUUUCAAAGGAUUCCCGAUGCCCUCAAAGAAAUGCCCAAAAUGAAUCCCAAAGGCAUAUACGUGAAUAAGAGCUUGAGAUUGGACAAAUUGCAAGUUUAUGGUUUUGACUACGAUUACACAUUGGCACAUUACUCAUCUGCCUUGCAGACUUUGAUAUAUGACUUGGCCAAGGAGUACAUGGUGAAUGAGCUUAGGUAUCCUGAGAUUUGCAUGGAAUUCAAGUAUGAUCCAAGUUUCCCCAUUCGAGGCUUAUACUAUGAUAAGUCUAAAGGGUGCCUAAUGAAGCUGGAUUUCUUCGGGUCAAUUGAGCCAGAUGGAUGUUAUUUUGGUCGACGCAGGCUAAGCCGAAGGGAAAUUCGUGAUGUAUAUGGAACACGACAUAUUGGUCGCGAUCAAGCUCGAUCACUUGUUGGUUUGAUGGAUUUCUUCUGCUUCAGUGAGGCAUGCCUCCUUGCAGAUAUAGUGCAAUACUUUGUUGAUGCCAAGCUAGAAUUUGAUGCUUCCUACAUAUAUGAAGACGUGAUUCGGGCAAUUGAUCAUGUCCACCGGAGUGGCCGGGUUCACAGAGGAAUUCUCUCUGAUCCACAUAGAUACUUAGUUAAAAAUGGGACGAUGUUGAGUUUUCUUAAGAUGCUAAGGGAGAAGGGCAAGAAGCUUUUCUUGUUGACUAAUUCUCCUUAUUACUUUGUGGAUGGAGGAAUGCGUUUUAUGUUACAGGAUUCUAUGGAUUGUAGAGACUCCUGGAUGGAACUGUUUGAUGUUGUGAUUGCUAAGGCUAAUAAACCACAGUUUUAUACAUCUGAUCAUCCAUUCCGUUGUUAUGACAUGGAGAAGGACAAAUUAACUUUUACCAAAGUCGAGAAAUUUCUUCCAAACAAAAUAUAUUAUCAUGGAUGCCUCAAAUCCUUUCUCCAAAUAACAAAGUGGAAGGGCCCAGAGGUGAUAUAUUUUGGAGAUCAUCUAUUUAGCGACCUGAGAGGUCCCUCAAAGGCAGGUUGGCGCACAGCUGCUAUCAUCCAUGAACUGGAGAAUGAAAUACGCAUACAGAAUGGAGAUAAUUACCGUUGGGAACAGGCCAAGUUUCAUAUAAUACAAGAAUUACUAGGUAAGUUGCAUGCAACUGCGGCUAAUAGUAUGAGAACCUCGUCUUGCAAUUUACUUCUGGAAGAACUUAAUGGGGAAAGGCAAAAAGCACGCAAUAUGAUGAAGACGAUGUUUAAUAAGUCUUUUGGAGCAACAUUCCUGACUAGUACAGGUCAGGAAUCUGCUUUUGCUUAUAACAUUCAUCAGUAUGCAGAUGUUUAUACCAGUAAGCCGGAGAAUUUUCUUCUCCAUUCAACUGAAGCUUGGCUUCAUGUUCCAUAUGAUGUCAAGAUUAUGCCUCAUCACGUGAAGAUUCCAUCAAGUUUGUUUAAUACCUGAUGAGCUAGUCCUCAGAAUCAUUCAAACUGAGUGGCAUUCCGUGGUUCUACUAUUGCCGGUGUAAUGGCGGCGGCAAUUGAACUAAGUGUUCCAUUAUGGAGGUGCAAACAGGAGAUACUUGUUGCAGCAGUCACUUCCAUUCAGUUUAAUUCUUUUGUUCUUGAUUUCCCCAAUAUCUGGGCGUUUCUAACAAACUCGGAUGGCAACUGCUGUCGAUCCACAGGAACUUGCAAUCAAUAAUCAUUAACCAGAAGUGCUACCAAGUCCUAGUACGAGGUCAAACAUGACGAUUUCACUGGUGGAUUAUAGCAUGGGUUAACUUAUGAGGGGUCUUUUGUCGUCUAGUAACUAAAUCCUUGCAUAUUCUGACAUGGUUAGGGCUUUGGGUCGGCUAAUGUUUAUUUAUAUACUCACUGAAUCUGAAAUGUUGCUGCAAAUUGCAACAUAUAUUAGUCGUAAAAAAUGCGGAUAUGUUCAACUCUU
Molecule: RNA transcript, 2155 nt
Organism: Arachis duranensis
Lineage: Eukaryota; Viridiplantae; Streptophyta; Magnoliopsida; Fabales; Fabaceae
Exons: 14
Source: RefSeq, a predicted model, not a curated record